UACGUAGGGGGCAAGCGUUGUCCGGAAUCAUUGGGCGUAAAGAGCGUGUAGGCGGCCCGAUAAGUCCGCCGUGAAAGCCCAGGGCUCAACCCUGGGAUGCCGGUGGAUACUGUCGGGCUAGAAUCCGGAAGAGGCGAGUGGAAUUCCUGGUGUAGCGGUGAAAUGCGCAGAUAUCAGGAGGAACACCGAUGGCGAAGGCAGCUCGCUGGGACGGUAUUGACGCUGAGACGCGAAAGCGUGGGGGGCAAACAGG
RNAcentral lists this ribosomal RNA (253 nucleotides) under uncultured bacterium. RNAcentral describes it as "partial 16S ribosomal RNA". It matches the Rfam family "Bacterial small subunit ribosomal RNA", at positions 524 to 776 of the family's 1533-position model. The record is from RNAcentral.